RNAcentral lists this ribosomal RNA (253 nucleotides) under uncultured bacterium. RNAcentral's name for it is "partial 16S ribosomal RNA". It matches the Rfam family "Bacterial small subunit ribosomal RNA", at positions 524 to 776 of the family's 1533-position model. The record is from RNAcentral.
UACGGAGGGGGCUAGCGUUGUUCGGAAUUACUGGGCGUAAAGCGCGUGCAGGCGGUUCGGUAAGUUGGAUGUGAAAUCUCCUGGCUCAACUGGGAGAGGACGUUCAAGACUGUCGGACUAGAGGACGGUAGAGGAAGGUAGAAUUCCCGGUGUAGUGGUGAAAUGCGUAGAUAUCAGGAGGAACACCUGUGGUGUAGACGGCUUUCUGGACCGUAGCUGACGCUGAGACACGAAAGCGUGGGUAGCAAACAGG